Molecule: non-coding RNA, 723 nt
Organism: Drosophila suzukii
Lineage: Eukaryota; Metazoa; Arthropoda; Insecta; Diptera; Drosophilidae
Source: RefSeq, a predicted model, not a curated record
UGGUAUAUAUUCAUAAAUUGAAGAAAAUUUCGAUGUUUUUAGCGAAAUUUCGAGGUUUUAGCAAAAUUUCGAUGUUUUCGCGAAAUUUCGAUGUUUUAGCGAUAUAUCGAUGCUUACAAACAUCGAUGUUGAAAACAUCGAUGUACUCACUAUCGAUGUUUUUGCAUCCCUACGAGCCACCGGCCACCCAAAGACCUCCGUUGUAGCGGCAAACUUCGACGCCCGGAGCGACGCGCCCGCGGCCGCAGUUCAUGCGGCAGGUAGCGAAUGGCCGGAGGGAAUCGAGGAGGCACUAGAGGUGUCAAAACAUCGAUGAAAACAUCAAUGCAUCGAUGUUUUUGAAAUUUUCUAAAUCAUCGAUGUUUUUUUUCAACCAUUGAUUUUUCUGUGCCGUCACUAUUAAGAAAAAAGGCAAAGGAAAGACAAAGCUUAUGGUAACGCUUCUUAAAAAUGGAAGGCUGAGCCGUUCCAUACUAAACGUGCAUUCAGAGAACUUGUUCUGUCUCACAAUUUGGAGGGGGGCCAGAACAAGAAGAAGCUCAAAGUUUAGCCAAAUUUCGUACGCGCCUUGUUAAAUGCAAUCGCUCUGGUGAAGCCCUCAGAACCUCCCGAAAAGGCACUGCAAAAGGCAAUGAGGUGCGUUAAAAACUUAAGUGGCACAAAAAAAAGGCAACGCCGGCCCCAGAUGCUGAAGAGCCAACGACCCCGAUAACACCGGGAACC